GAUGAAUGCUGGCGGCGUGUUUAACACAUGCAAGUCGAACGGACGAAAUAAGCUUGCUUAUUUCGUUAGUGGCGCACGGGUGAGUAAUGUAUAGCUAACCUGCCCUUUAGUGGGGGACAACAGUUGGAAACGACUGCUAAUACCCCAUACUCCUUCUUAUCAUAAGGUAAGUCGGGAAAGAUUUAUUGCUAAAGGAUGGGGCUUUAUUGUAUCAGCUUGUUGGUGGGGUAAUGGCCUACCAAGGCGAUGACGCAUACCUGGUCUGAGAGGAUGAUGAGGCACACUGGAACUGAGACACGGUCCAGACUCCUACGGGAGGCAGCAGUGGGGAAUAUUGCACAAUGGGGGAAACCCUGAUGCAGCAACGCCGCGUGGAGGAUGACGCAUUUCGGUGUGUAAACUCCUUUUAUAAGGGAAGAUAAUGACGGUACCUUAUGAAUAAGCACCGGCUAACUCCGUGCCAGCAGCCGCCGUAA
RNAcentral lists this ribosomal RNA (476 nucleotides) under uncultured bacterium. Its description in RNAcentral is "partial 16S ribosomal RNA". It matches the Rfam family "Bacterial small subunit ribosomal RNA", at positions 28 to 523 of the family's 1533-position model. The record is from RNAcentral.